GGACUACUAGGGUAUCUAAUCCUGUUUGCUCCCCACACUUUCGCACCUCAGCGUCAGUAUCGAGCCAGUGAGCCGCCUUCGCCACUGGUGUUCCUCCGAAUAUCUACGAAUUUCACCUCUACACUCGGAAUUCCACUCACCUCUCUCGAACUCUAGACCGAUAGUUUUGGAGGCCGUUCCGGGGUUGAGCCCCGGGAUUUCACCCCCAACUUUCCGAUCCGCCUACGUGCGCUUUACGCCCAGUAAUUCCGAACAACGCUAACCCCCUCCGUAUUACCGCGGCUGCUGGCACGGAGUUAGCCGGGGUUUCUUUACCUGCUACCGUCAUUAUCUUCACAGGCGAAAGAGCUUUACGACCCUAAGGCCUUCAUCACUCACGCGGCAUGGCUGGAUCAGGGUU
Molecule: unclassified non-coding RNA, 400 nt
Filed under: uncultured Paracoccaceae bacterium
Lineage: Bacteria; Pseudomonadati; Pseudomonadota; Alphaproteobacteria; Rhodobacterales; Paracoccaceae
Description: uncultured Rhodobacteraceae bacterium contains 16S-23S intergenic spacer region
Source: RNAcentral